This 2606-nucleotide long non-coding RNA is filed under the name Homo sapiens (human). RNAcentral's name for it is "HSALNT0373177". The record is from RNAcentral. Lineage: Eukaryota; Metazoa; Chordata; Mammalia; Primates; Hominidae.
GUGGAAGCAGGGAAAAAUGAAUCCAGCAAUUACUAUAUUUAGCUGCUUUUACAAAUGCCUCUUGGUUAAAAAAAAAAAAAAAAAGACAUUCAUUGGUAGACAUUACCACAUUGCCAAGUCACUCAUAAAUCUAAGUACGAAAGUCAGUAAAAAAGGAUGAUGUUAUCUGAUUCACUGAAAGGGAAAUAAGCUGAGAUCUGCUGCGUUAGGACAAAGGCCAGCUGGGCUUUAUGAGAAUUCAGAUGGCAAGGAACAAGCUUUUUAUGGCAAUGACAGAGGGAGAAGGGAACAAUAUUAUAAGGAAGAAUCUUUGUGGUUCAAACAGAUUAUGUGGUUUAUUAUUUUCAUUUAGAUUAGGGAAAAAAUCAGUGGGCACAGAAUAAAUAGCAACUGCCUCUUUCCCCCUCCCCAGCAAGCAGAAUAUUGAUUUCCUCUUUGAGGAAAGGACACAUUAAAAAGAAUACUCUUGAGAUGAUAAAUAUGCUAAUUAAUGUGAUCUAAUCCCUAUACAUUAUGUAUAUGGAAACACCACUAUGUACCCCAUGAAUGUGUACAAUUAUUGUCAAUUUAAAAAUACAAUUUUAAAAACACUCAUUUUAUUUUUUUAAAUUAAUUGUUCUUAUUUUAAAAAUUAUUAUUUUUUAGGGAUGGGAUCUCACUGCAUUGCUCAGGCUGGUCUCAAACUCCUGGGCUCAAGCAAUCUUCCUGCCUUAGCUUCCCAAAGUUCUGGGAUUACAGGCAUGAGCCACCACUCCCAGCCAAAAAAAAAAAUACUCAUUUAAAGCUGCACAAGUUUGAUGGCACAAGUCUGUAUAACUGGACCUGUGCCUUUAUAAAACCUCAAACACUGCAAAGGUUCAUGAAACAAUGUAUAUCUAUUCUUCUUAUUCACUGUCAUCAAUGCUGACCAGGGAAAAUUGCACAGGUGCACGUGUGUGUGUGUGUGUGUAGGGCUAGUGAAGCAGGCAACUACCAGAGAUACAUUAUUAAAAAGCUAACAUUUAUUGGCCAGGCGCGGUGGCUUACGUCUGUAAUCCCAGCACUCUCACGGGUGGUGCCUCCCCGGCAAUGGGGGUCCCAAGAUCCAGGGGGGGAAAAGGGGAUGGCUCUCAGCCACCACAAAAUGGGGGGCCUUUAUGUUCAGGUUUUGCCCAAGAGUCAGCUUAUUUGCUUCUUGUACUAGCAGGGCAGUUGCUGCCAAGGCCUCAAACAGGGGAGCCAUCCUUCAGAAACCCUGUCUAGUUGUUCAGAGACGUAGGCCACCGGCCUCAGCCAGGGCCCCACAGUUUGGGUUAAAAGUCCAGCUGCCAUCUUUUCUCUCUCUAACGCAUACAAUGGAAAAGGCUUUGUCAGAUCGGGUAGCCCCAGGGCUGGGGCUGCCAGAAGUUUUUCCUUUAAGUCAUGAAAGACUUGCUGUUCUUGGAUCCCCAUUCCAAAGGUUCCGGUCCCCGCCCCCUUUGUGACCUCAUACAAAGGCUUGGCUAAUACUGCAAAGUUUGGGAUCCACAGUCUACAAAACCCCACAUCCCCUGAGAAUUCUCUCGCCUGCCUUAGGCACUUAGGCUCCGGGAGAUUGCAAAUAACCUGCUUUCUUUCUGUUCCCGGGCUGCGUUCGGACUCCUGUCAGAUAGUAAAUCCUAAGUAAGGUGGCGUCGGACCCCUGUCAGAGAGUAAAUCUCAAGUAAGGUACCUGCCAUCGGCAGAUUUGAGCUUUCUUCUUGGACACCUAAUACCCACAGUCCUCCAGGCUCCGGUAGACUGCAAAUGACCUGCUUUCUUUCUGUUCCCGGGCUGCGUUUGGACCCCUGUCGGAUAGUAAAUCCCAAGCUCCGGUAGACUGCAAAUGACCUGCUUUCUUUCUGUUCCCGGGCUGCGUUUGGACCCCUGUCGGACAGUAAAUCCCAAGUAAGGUACCUGCCCUCGGCAGAUUUGAGCUUUCUUCUUGGACACCUAAUACCCACAGUCCUCCAGGAAUGGAACAGAUAAGAAGAUACUGAAAUUGGACGGUGCUGCCGUGCGGCUGCCGCAGGACACCUUUAAUAUCCCUGUUUCUCAGGCUGUAGAUGAAGGGGUUCAGCAUGGAGGUGAUCACCGUGUACAUCACUGAGGCCACUGCAGCCUUUCUCGGGGAAGAUGACACAUCUGAACUGAGGUACCCUCCAAAGCCUGUUCCGUAAAAUCAGCAAACAACUGACAGGAUAACUUCAGGAAGUGGGUAUUAAUUCUCACGGUAUAAGUGAAGACAUUAAGCACCAGAGUUUAAGUAGCUUGAUCCACUGAAAGAGAUUCAACUGUGUGGAACCUAUGCCGUGGAGAAUUGCUUUCUGCCAUUGUUAUCGUCCAGCAGUUGCCGAAUAGCUCUGACCUGAGCAAAGCAGUGAAACGCGGUGCUGUUGAGUGGGUUGCCACUGCACCUUUUUCAACUACUCUAGUCUUGUGGAGAAAAUACCCCUUCUAAAUUUUUUCUUCAUUGAAUACUCUCCCUCAGCUCCAGAGUACCAUAUAGAGUUUUCUUGUAUUUUAGAGUUACUGUUUUAUCAAAGUUUACCAGUCUUUUGUAUUACAUUUCUCCUGUCUAAAUCGACUGUGUGGUUUCUACUCAUUAU